GAUGAACGCUGGCGGCGUGCUUAACACAUGCAAGUCGAACGGAAAGGCCCAAGCUUGCUUGGGUGCUCGAGUGGCGAACGGGUGAGUAACACGUGGGUGAUCUGCCCUGCACUUUGGGAUAAGCCUGGGAAACUGGGUCUAAUACCGGAUAGGACCAUCGUUUAGUGUCGGUGGUGGAAAGUUUUUCGGUGUGGGAUGAGCUCGCGGCCUAUCAGCUUGUUGGUGGGGUAAUGGCCUACCAAGGCGUCGACGGGUAGCCGGCCUGUGAGGGUGUACGGCCACAUUGGGACUGAGAGAAGGCCCAGACUCCUACGGGAGGAAGCAGUGGGGAAGAUUGCACAAUGGGCGCAAGCCGGAUGCAGCGACGCCGCGGGGGGGAUGACGGCCUUCGGGUUGUAAACUCCUUUCGCCAAGGACGAAGCGUUUUGUGACGGUACUUGGAGAAGAAGCACCGGCUAACUACGUG
Molecule: ribosomal RNA, 466 nt
Filed under: uncultured bacterium
Lineage: Bacteria
Description: partial 16S ribosomal RNA
Rfam family: Bacterial small subunit ribosomal RNA
Source: RNAcentral